RNAcentral lists this long non-coding RNA (199 nucleotides) under Phaseolus vulgaris (common bean). RNAcentral describes it as "long non-coding RNA (PVUL_LNC003911)". Lineage: Eukaryota; Viridiplantae; Streptophyta; Magnoliopsida; Fabales; Fabaceae. The record is from RNAcentral.
AAUUCGUGGACGAAUUCUCUCCAACCCGGGGAGUAUGAUGGAAACCAAGUAGAGGAUGCUCAAGCCCAUGAAGCCCAAGCCCAACAAGGGGCCCAAGCCCAACGAAUCACUAGGAGCAUGGCAAGAGCUUUGGGACAAGAGUAUCAAAAGAUGGCUCUUCUUAUUUCUUUUAUAGAGUAGGGGUGCGGAUGUAAUAAAU